AAUAAGUGUAGUUUUACACUAUUCACGUUCAACGUUUAACCGUUCAUCUUAUUUAAAAAAUUUUUAUGAUUAGUGUUUUUAUUGCUAUUAGAUGAUAAAAUAUGAAUAGUAUUUUAUGUGUGAUUAAAUAUUUUUAUUUUUUCACAAAUUUUUCAAAUAAGACGGUAAAUAUUUUCAUUUUUUCACAAAUUUUUUAAAUAAGACGAACGGUCAAACAUUGGGCACGAAUAUCCACGGCUACACUUAUU
Molecule: microRNA precursor, 248 nt
Filed under: Oryza barthii
Lineage: Eukaryota; Viridiplantae; Streptophyta; Magnoliopsida; Poales; Poaceae
Description: MIR812 microRNA precursor family
Rfam family: MIR812 microRNA precursor family
Source: Rfam by way of RNAcentral